AUUUGUUGGUGUCCAUGUGUGUGUGUUUGUAUGCUAUUAUGAUUAUUGAGACGAGAAAGGCAUGCAUUGUUGUUGUUUCUUGGCUCUCUUUCUUCGCAACCUUUUUCACCCGCCCAGACGGUUAGCGAAUGAACUCUUAUCAGUGCCAGAAAUAGCAUCGUGUCAACAACAACCAGCAGCAGCCAACAACUUGUAGGCCAAGCUCUAGGUCUUUCCAUCCACAGCACUGGACAACCGAUAAACUGGCUCGGGGAUUGAGCUUCAAACCACAGAUCAAACCGCAUGUAUUAACAACCCCAACAACUAAAAUCGUUCAUUUUACCAAGCAAAGUCCUAAACCCAAAACCAGCUGAAUUUCUAGCCUUCCACUUGUGACAGCCUACGUGACCGAACUGGAUCACUAUCGCGAGCGGAAAUGGAGUUCGGGUGUACCAGGGCGACACCUGCACAGGGGUCAGCGGGUCGCGGUUAGCGUUGGCCACGUUUCCGACGGUCCGCUCUGGCUUUGUGUGCGUUCGCUCGUCGGUCGUACGCACACCGAGACCCCGGACUGUUAUCUACCACAACAUACACCGAAACCGAACUACGACACAGACAGCUCCGUCCCAUUGUUGAUAAGCCAGCCGCGGUAACUUGCCGCGAGCACCGAUGGCGAGCACCCGGUACUAAAGCGAGCUGGUGGACGAGGACCACAUUCCUCCGGGGCCACUUGACGCCUGGGCCUGAGGGCGAGCGCUGGCUUAAACACCAAAGAGGCAGAAAAACCACCCGGCCAACAACCUGACGUCAGGCGAGUCAAGAGGGCUUUUGCUCAUCGGUACACGGUACACGAUUAGCACCUAGCAGGGUGGUGCUUUUUGCUGUUGAUUUUGCAAACAGGGAAGUGGACGAGGCCAUCGGUGUGUCGUCGGUGGUCGUCGGUACUGUUAAAUCCCUUCUCCACUUACACGUGACCACUUGCCGCGCGUUCGGGAAGGGUAUAGGGAUUGUUGCCUGCUGCACCACAAAUAAGUCAUCAAUAACGUCGUCAAUAAAUGGUGUACUUGUUAAACACGAAACGUUUUAAUUUCCUGUAUAUCAAGGAACAGGUAGGCCAUUAAGUUUGUUCUAAAUUUCAUGCAAAUUAAACAACCAAU
Molecule: long non-coding RNA, 1136 nt
Organism: Anopheles merus
Lineage: Eukaryota; Metazoa; Arthropoda; Insecta; Diptera; Culicidae
Exons: 3
Source: RefSeq, a predicted model, not a curated record